This is a long non-coding RNA of Silurus meridionalis, 480 nucleotides long. RefSeq lists it as uncharacterized. The record is from RefSeq and is a predicted model, not a curated record. NCBI's taxonomy places the organism in Eukaryota, Metazoa, Chordata, Actinopteri, Siluriformes, Siluridae. The transcript is spliced from 3 exons.
AGAGGCGAAAAAGGAUCCGGGGAGACAACCCAAUUCGGGUGGUUACCGUUCAAAGCCAGCUGGUCUGGCUUAAUUAAUGCAGGACAUUUUUUUUUCCUUUUUGUCUAAAAUAUUGUGUAGUCUAGUGAAUGUUUGAUUAACCUGGCCCACAGCAGGAACUGGAGGGUGUGACUUCCUGAAAAAGCACGAAAACGACACGGAUGCCAACCAAGACAAGCGCGAGCACAUACUGAAAUCCAAAAGGCGUUUCUUAGAGCCGCUGCAUGCGUGACGAUCUGGAGGAGUGAGUGAUUGAGCUGAAGGAACUGCGAAUGUGCGUUACUCUACAACCUUAAUGGAAUUAAGCCUGAGCACAGUGGUCACGUAUAAAGUAUUCCAGCCUAUUAAUUAACCCCAGCAUGACUCGUCUUUGGCAUAUUAACCCAGUGAACGUUUUUGAAUCACAGCAUGCUUGUUCGUGUUUAGCAUCGGUGUCAGCUG